UGGGGAAUUUUGGACAAUGGGCGCAAGCCUGAUCCAGCCAUGCCGCGUGCGGGAAGAAGGCCUUCGGGUUGUAAACCGCUUUUGUCAGGGAAGAAAUCCUCUGAGUUAAUACCUCGGGAGGAUGACGGUACCUGAAGAAUAAGCACCGGCUAACUACGUGCCAGCAGCCGCGGUAAUACGUAGGGUGCAAGCGUUAAUCGGAAUUACUGGGCGUAAAGCGUGCGCAGGCGGUUUUGUAAGACAGAGGUGAAAUCCCCGGGCUCAACCUGGGAACUGCCUUUGUGACUGCAAGGCUUGAGUGCGGCAGAGGGGGGAUGGAAUUCCGCGUGUAGCAGUGAAAUGCGUAGAUAUGCGGAGGAACACCGAUGGCGAAGGCAAUCCCCUGGGCCUGCACUGACGCUCAUGCACGAAAGCGUGGGGAGCAAACAGGAUUAGAUACCCCUGGUAGUCCACGCCCUAAACGAUGUCAACUGGUUGUUGGGAAGGUUCCUUCUCAGUAACGUAGCUAACGCGUGAAGUUGACCGCCUGGGGAGUACGGCCGCAAGGUUGAAACUCAAAUGAAUUGACGGGGUCA
RNAcentral lists this ribosomal RNA (575 nucleotides) under uncultured bacterium. RNAcentral describes it as "partial 16S ribosomal RNA". It matches the Rfam family "Bacterial small subunit ribosomal RNA", at positions 355 to 921 of the family's 1533-position model. The record is from RNAcentral.